Molecule: ribosomal RNA, 405 nt
Filed under: uncultured bacterium
Lineage: Bacteria
Description: bacterial SSU rRNA
Rfam family: Bacterial small subunit ribosomal RNA
Source: RNAcentral
UGGGGAAUAUUGGGCAAUGGGCGAAAGCCUGACCCAGCAACGCCGCGUGAAGGAAGAAGGUCUUCGGAUUGUAAACUUCUUUUAUAAGGGACGAAGAAAGUGACGGUACCUUAUGAAUAAGCCACGGCUAACUACGUGCCAGCAGCCGCGGUAAUACGUAGGUGGCAAGCGUUAUCCGGAUUUACUGGGUGUAAAGGGCGCGUAGGCGGGGAUGCAAGUCAGGUGUGAAAUCUAUGGGCUCAACCCAUAAACUGCACUUGAAACUGUGUCUCUUGAGUGUCGGAGAGGUAGAUGGAAUUCCUUGUGUAGCGGUGAAAUGCGUAGAUAUAAGGAAGAACACCAGUGGCGAAGGCGAUCUACUGGACGAUAACUGACGCUGAGGCGCGAAAGCGUGGGGAGCAAACA